UCGGCGGAGGGGGUAGGGGGGUGAGGCCGCGAGGUACGGAGGACCGGGGGAGGGGGAAGGGGGGCGGCGGCGGCGGCGGUGGCGGUGGCUCGGGUGUGCUCGCGGGAGGCGCGCGGGGUCGCGGGCCGCCGUCGCGGCGGGGGACCGGGCGAUCGGCGUCGCCUGCGCGGGAGACCGGCGGCCAAGACCCGCCCGCCCUCGCCGCAGCCGCUACCGCGGCUGAGCCUUCUUCGCGUGGAGGAGGCGCCGGCGCCGCCGGCGGCGGCGCCGGGUCACCUUCCAGCCGCUGGAGCACGAGCGGUUCGAGUUCCCGAUGGGCCGGACCGGCCGGUACUAAUCGCUCGGCGUCUUUACCCCCGAAGGAAGUUGAUUUUUCUUCAACGACCAGAUGAAAAUACCUUGAUUUCUCUAACGAAAGACGUUAAUACGACUAGAACUCCGCAAGUGACUUCUCUUUUUCUUUAGAGAUGAACAAUUUGCUGUACCCUUUCCUCGUCUAAAACAGUUUCGUCAAUUCCUUUAUCACCUUUAAAAACUAAGAUACUUCUUGCUCCUGUUAUUAUUCUCACCAAACCGGGGACGGUUGUUAUCGUCGUCAAACCUGUGACCUCCAGGACUUCUUCCAAGACUAAACCGGUUACUGUUGUUCGAGCUCCCAUUAGGACGGAGAAGGUACCUAGUGUCGUACCGGUCAUGGGGACCCAGAUUAUAACGACGUAACCUCUCACUUGUGACACAACACUUGAGACGUGGACUACUCGGACGAUCAAGUAAAAGUUUCUUCUCCUCUUCAUUAUGAGACGUUGAUCCAAGAACGUGAGUGGCACUAGAAUGAAGGGGUGCCUCCGGUUCUUCAAGUAAUCCACGACUAGUAUCCUGAGCCCUAAGAACACCCGGCUUACCAGAGUUAGACGGAGGACAACUAUACUGGUGACUACUAUCCGUCCUUCCAAGAAGAGCCGCAUUUACAUAUCCACUACUGUUUGGAUUUAGCCUAGAGGAAAGUCGAUGUUUCCUACAAUACGACAAGUUAACGCCAGUUCCGUGGAGUUCAGUUAGACCUCGAAGAGACUUACCAUUAAUACUCUUGUUAAGCUCAAGACGACGUUUAUAUCUUUCAUUAGAAUUACAACUUCAUACAGUUUGACAGUACCCGUUUCUUCUAUUAGAACUACCCUGUGUUCUAGAAAGGUGCUCGUGUUGUCAAUGAACAUUUUCUUUCGCUUCGGGCCUGUGGUUACUACAAUUAUUAAGAUAAUCGUCGCACCAUCGUUUAUACCUACUUCUUAACGUCGGAUUAAGUUCACCUUUGGACGGUCUAAGAGGUUUAAGUCCCUUACUUCAGUUAUUCAGUCUACCUCUACUGGUGAACGGAAAUCAUUUUUCCCGUGCCCAAGCUUACCCUUCUGGGGUCGAGCUCCUGAGGUACCAACUACUCGAACUAUAAAGACUAUUGUUUCAUCUCAACCGAUAUGGACAUCUACUUACAAUAUUUGUACUGAACAGAAGUAAUCACCCUUUUCUAGUAGGUCGACUACUACAGGGGAUAGCGUAUCUAGGAAGUGGGUUUCAUCUGUGUAGCGACCGUAGCCCUUUACUAGUUAGUCGACUCCUCCACGAAGGACCGUAUCUAGGAAGUGGGUUUCAUCUGGGUAACGACCGUAGCCCUUUACUAGUAAAUCGACUCCUCCACGAAGGACCGUAUCUAGGAAGUGGGUUUCAUCUGGACAGACGUAGUCCUCUUCAAGUCUGACGAACGUUCCUGUUUCUCAUAGUUAGUUUCCAAAACUGCAAUCUACCUCUUCGACGAAAUGGAGGUAGAUUUGCAGAGGUAGCACGGAAUCUCCGAUACAGACGAUUACGACGACUUUGAUGUUCAUUAGGCGGACUUCACUUAUUCCGUUUCCUCACAUAGGACUUCGGAACGUGUUGCAGCUAUCCUUCGAGAGGAAAAUUAUUGAGACGUCUACGUGAACAGUCUUCAGGUUCUAGACGUUGUUGAUUUCCGGGCCUUUAUACAAGUUGACAUGAAAGAAAUCUAUGGGGUUGACCGGAUUUCACAUACAGUGUUGGUAAGUAUAAUUUGUUCCUGAGGGGCAGAAGACAAAGUAACCUUAACUGUUUGCCACCGUUAGUACUAGAAGGUUUUCUGUUUCAAGUGUGGUCCCUACUACUACUAUAGACACCUUUAAGAGGUCGGACAAGGAACCUCAACUUUCUCGGACAGAAACAUAGAUUCAAACUAGUCAACGGACACCCCUUUCAUUCAUGUUUACUCGAGGGUCUAGGUUAACCAUUGAGACCAGCUCUAAAAUCAUUUUUAUAACUACCUACACGAAUAGGUGAAUCGGUACGUUUCUGACAACACAGUCCACGAUUAGUGCUAAGGUUAAGACUCGGUGUUUUAUUCUGUCAAAACCGACUUGGUUGUCAGUCACACCCACUGUCCUGUUCACGGAGAAACAACCAAUGAUUUCAAUGUACGUCGGUCUUACAACGUCCGCGAGCUUGUAAACUUCACGUACCAAGAAGUCGUUGCCGUGACUCUCUUAAGCUGGUGUUUUAAUUGAACUUCCUAUAACCAAAUAGAGGACUGGGCUACGGAUACUUUCCUGAAUAACGACGACGUGUACGAGUCUUUAAGAGAGUUGGUUGAAGAAAGUAUCUGUCAAAAAAUCUAAGGUUACAAUAAAGACUUGGAAGCCACUUAUAUGGAAGUCAAUUUCUUCCUAGUCCACCGGCCACAAGUGGAAGUUUAUGAUAUUAUUCCAGACGUAGUCUAUCCUAAGUAUGAGGUGUCUGAUCACCAUUCUAAGAAAGUCUAUUGUAUGUUGUUUUCUCGAACUUGUUUGGUCGUCCAGUACUACUUCGGUCCAGUCGUGCCUCCCGGAAACUUUUAAAGGAUCCAUGUAAUUGUUCUUGUUUUCUUACAUAUCGGGCACGUUGUGCAGAGCGAGACCUAACACGAUUCGUACCGUAACGACCCCUCCAUUACCUACAGUAGUAGCUUGCGGACCUUUUUCUUAGUUUAAAUAUGUUUUCCCACCUGGACAAGAAGGAACAACUAAGUUAUUAGGUCACGACAGCGUUAGUCUUUCCACCUCAACCUCUACGGAUAGGAAGAGAAUAGGUUCGUCAGGACGGUGCUUAUGAUAUACGAAGACGUGGAGGACCUUUAAGACGUACCCUCUUAGCUUCUGUUACAGAAUUCCAAAACUUUGAGACCGAACUCUCCUUUUGGGAAAGUCUUAUGUAGUAAGCAGUAGUAUAAUUCCUCGAACUCCGAGAAUUACUUCGUAGUAAACCCUGGAGAGCAGCAGUAAGUCCCUGUCUCUCUCGAGACUUACUGGGAAAUGCCCUAUUACUUCCUUACGAACAACUACUUAUACCUUCGUUAUGACCAAAGGUAGAAGGUUUAAACUAGACGCACUUUGACGAACUACUCCUUCCUUCGAGGAGGCUCCUAUCCUCGAAACUUCGACAGUGAGGACUUGUACUUAGAUGACCACGACUCGUUCCCCUCCCAAGAGUUAACCUACCACGUUUCGUAGCUGAACAGAAACUUCUUCACUUACCACUAGAACUCUACCUUCUACAUCGGGGUAGUAGACUUCGCCUUCGAUCGAGACGUACGGUUGGUCUAUAUUGUCAACGCUCCACAUGUGGCUGAUCAGUUUUACAACUAAGACAAGGAGGCGAUGGACUUCUGUUUGGAGGUUGAGGAGGGGGCAACGGUAGUAGAGGUGGUGGAGAUGGUGCGGGAGUCACAGGACAGUAAGUUCCAAGUGUCCAAGUUCCUCGUAACGUACACCGUGGACUAGCUCAGCUCGGUCUAUGAAAUUCUUUACAAGUUCUAGUCGUGGGAGUAAGAUAACGUUUAUUAGCUCCGUUGUACCUAGGAACACGCCAAGGUAAGGUCGGAGGUGGCGGGAUAUGAAGACCCACACGUCCCGUAGGUUUGGUCUACGUAGGCGGCGGUGGCGACGGAGGUGGCGGCGGAGGUGGUGGACGGCGUGGAAAGGUAGGAGGACCUGGGGUACCUUUAAAAAGACCCGGGGGUCAUGGCGGGGUGCCUUUAUUGAUAGUGGCAGGUGGUCGUGGUGGUGGAGGCUUAUUACGUAUGGUAAACGUCGGUGGUGGUGGCGUAGGUGGUGGUGGCGUAGGUGGUCCAGGCUUAGUCAAGGGUAUAUACGGUGGACUUGUGGUUGUUUCUCGUGUUGGAACCUUAACAUUAGGAGGGAUAGGACUCCCUAUAGUCAUGUUACCUGUACUGUCUCCCGUGGGAGGUAUGCUAUCCUCUGUAGUGAAACUACUAUCUACCGUAGUGAAGCUGCUAUCUCCCGCUGCGAAACUACUACCUCCCGUAGUAAAGUUACGGCCUCCCGUAGUAAAACUGCUACCUCGUAUAGUGAUACUACUAUCUCCCGUAGUGAAGUUACUGUCUCCUGUUUACGUGGUACUUAGAUACCUAUCUCCCUCCAAAGGAGGUGUAAAACCUGGUCUAGGGGGCAUGGGACUGGUAAAACUUCGAAGUAGGAGGGUGGCACCCGCUGGUAGCCUGCCAGGUGGACCAGGUACGUGGCUGACCAGCUACGGCGGAUCCUCUAGGUUCAUAGGAGGACCGAGGUCUGUAAGUUACCUCGGAGGUUACAGGGUACUUCCUCCAACCUCCUCCGUGCCUUCUGUGUUAUUACUAUCCAAGGUAUCUACUUCCCCGUCUUCGAAACACAGAGUUGGUACGAAUCGGAGUAGACACCAUGAGGAGUGUGAAAAAUACUAUUCUUACUUUACUAUAGGCGGACGUGACGUAGACAAAAGACGUUAAAGGACCAAAGUACGAGUUCGACACAAUAGUACCGUCUAAAUCAUGUUACCAAAGGUCUUCUCCCUAUUAAGGACUGUUAAAAUUACCAUGUAGAAAGUUAGGUGAAGCAGACUUCUUUGGUGACAAAUCAACGAACCCCUGUGACGAACAGACUGUGUAGUACAAUGUUAAAAUAAGGUCCAAUAUCUAAAAUCAAAAGAAAGGAAAACGGAAACCACCCGGCACUUCCCCUAGAAGUAACAGAGGUAAGCGCCUGCCCGAAUCGUACUUUAGAGAAACGUUUUCUUCUCUACCUUGUCCGGGACCAACAUGUUUACAUACAGUGGUAAGAAGACGUUUACGUCUUUGCCUUCCCUGAAGUUACCACGCAUCUCGACAAGACAUUGUUAGAUCAAUCGGAAUGUCAGAUGGCACAACAACUCUUUAAGAAGUGAUAACUAAAGGUAAGUUUAUAGGGAAAACAUUAGGUUGACAGUAAAGUUGAUGGAAUGACUUUGACGGACUGUAACAUAUAACGGUGUUAGAUCUUACAAGAAAACGCCCACAGACUGACAUACCACCGUGAAUCAAAAGUCUUAGUUGACACUUCAAAAGGCUUAGUUGAAAA
This 5432-nucleotide ribosomal RNA is filed under the name Triticum aestivum (bread wheat). RNAcentral's name for it is "partial small subunit ribosomal RNA". Lineage: Eukaryota; Viridiplantae; Streptophyta; Magnoliopsida; Poales; Poaceae. The record is from RNAcentral.